This 253-nucleotide ribosomal RNA is filed under the name uncultured bacterium. RNAcentral's name for it is "partial 16S ribosomal RNA". It matches the Rfam family "Bacterial small subunit ribosomal RNA", at positions 524 to 776 of the family's 1533-position model. The record is from RNAcentral.
UACGUAGGGCGCAAGCGUUGUCCGGAAUUAUUGGGCGUAAAGAGCUCGUAGGCGGUUUGUCGCGUCUGUCGUGAAAGCUUGGGGCUUAACCCCAAGUCUGCGGUGGAUACGGGCAGACUAGAGGCAGGUAGGGGAGAACGGAAUUCCCGGUGUAGCGGUGAAAUGCGCAGAUAUCGGGAGGAACACCGGUGGCGAAGGCAGCACUCUGGGACGGUACUGACGCUGAGACGCGAAAGCGUGGGGAGCGAGCAGG